This is a long non-coding RNA of Protopterus annectens (West African lungfish), 126 nucleotides long. RefSeq lists it as uncharacterized. NCBI's taxonomy places the organism in Eukaryota, Metazoa, Chordata, Ceratodontiformes, Protopteridae. The transcript has 3 exons. The record is from RefSeq and is a predicted model, not a curated record.
CAAGGAUGAAAUCGAAGAUUCAUUCCAAGCAUGCUUAUCUUGAAGUGUCCCCACCAUGCGGUUCAGGAAUCUGUUUGCAGCAUGCUUAUCUUGAAGUGUCCCCACCAUGCGGUUCAGGAAUCUGUU